AGAUUGAACGCUGGCGGCAUGCCUAACACAUGCAAGUCGAACGGGAGUAGCAAUACUCUAGUGGCGGACGGGUGAGGAAUACGUAGGAAUUUGCCCUUAAGUGGGGGAUAACCCGGGGAAACCCGGAUUAAUACCGCAUGACCUCGAAAGAGCAAAGUGGGGGAUCGCAAGACCUCACGCUUUUGGAGAAGCCUACGUCGGAUUAGCUAGUUGGUGAGGUAAUGGCUCACCAAGGCGACGAUCCGUAACUGGUCUGAGAGGAUGAUCAGUCACACCGGAACUGAGACACGGUCCGGACUCCGUACGGGAGGCAGCAGUGGGGAAUAUUGGACAAGUGGGCGACG
RNAcentral lists this ribosomal RNA (344 nucleotides) under uncultured soil bacterium. RNAcentral describes it as "bacterial SSU rRNA". It matches the Rfam family "Bacterial small subunit ribosomal RNA", at positions 26 to 380 of the family's 1533-position model. The record is from RNAcentral.